RNAcentral lists this ribosomal RNA (253 nucleotides) under uncultured bacterium. RNAcentral describes it as "partial 16S ribosomal RNA". It matches the Rfam family "Bacterial small subunit ribosomal RNA", at positions 524 to 776 of the family's 1533-position model. The record is from RNAcentral.
UACGUAGGGGGCAAGCGUUGUCCGGAAUCACUGGGCGUAAAGCGCACGUAGGCGGAUUCCUAAGUCGGGGGUGAAAUCCUGGAGCUCAACUCCAGAACUGCCUUCGAUACUGGGAAUCUUGAGUCCGGAAGAGGUGAGUGGAACUGCGAGUGUAGAGGUGAAAUUCGUAGAUAUUCGCAAGAACACCAGUGGCGAAGGCGGCUCACUGGUCCGGUACUGACGCUGAGGUGCGAAAGCGUGGGGAGCAAACAGG